Molecule: ribosomal RNA, 431 nt
Filed under: Teratosphaeriaceae sp. NY013
Lineage: Eukaryota; Fungi; Ascomycota; Dothideomycetes; Mycosphaerellales; Teratosphaeriaceae
Description: eukaryotic LSU rRNA
Rfam family: 5.8S ribosomal RNA (bases 114-267)
Source: RNAcentral
CCCUAUGUUGUCAAACCACGUUGCCUCGGGGGUGACCCGGCCUCGGUCGGCGCCCCCGGUGGACCACUCAACUCUGCAUCUGAGCGUCUGAGUCAAUUUGUUAAUCAAAUUAAAACUUUCAACAACGGAUCUCUUGGUUCUGGCAUCGAUGAAGAACGCAGCGAAAUGCGAUAAGUAAUGUGAAUUGCAGAAUUCAGUGAAUCAUCGAAUCUUUGAACGCACAUUGCGCCCUCUGGUAUUCCGGAGGGCAUGCCUGUUCGAGCGUCAUAAGACCACUCAAGCCCAGCUUGGUGUUGGGACGCGCCCCGGCGCUCCUCAAAAUCAGUGGCGGCUCGGCUCAGCUUCAUGCGUAGUAAAAUGUCUCGCUAUGGACGCUGGGCUGGCGCCUGCCAGAAGCCUAAUUUUUACAGGUUGACCUCGGAUCAGGUAGG